GUAGUAUUGUUGUCGCCGCCAUGUCGUAUAGACGCUGUGUGUUUCACUGUGAAAGCGAAACUACUUUGUUUGGCCUUCCAAAAGAGGACGAUAUCCCCUUCGUCAUGCCUGGAGCUGAUCCGUGUUGGUCGCUGAGGAAAUACAUCAACUUCGCACUGUGGAUUGCUGAAUCGGCUUUCACCGUGGACGAAGCAGAGUCCAGCCCGGGGUCGUCACGUGGUUGCUGCAAGCUCCUUCGUCGAAUUCGCCGGCCACGCCGUUCUCAAGCCAUACGCCUCUGCGUCACUCAAGCCGGCCGCGGCUCACUCUAGGCCUCCGGUCUUGGCUCACUCAAGGCCACGGAAGAAGCAUCGAAAAGACGAUAAUUUGUAUUGUUUGCCAACCGCUAAAAAAAGAAGCUGUUGUUUGCCGUGUCGCAUUCUACACAUUUUCAGUCCAAGCCUGAUGCAGGGCAGUUCCUCCCGGGUUAAGGGGUCCCUGCUGCAGUUUCACCAGUAAAGAAAAUUACUUGUUACAGUUCACUUGGAAGACCACAUAAGCCAUGCAGUGGUGCAUGGAGGAGCACCAAGAGGACAUAAAGUGGAAGUUUGUAAGGGACAUUGGUCCAGCGUGGUACAGAGUC
Molecule: long non-coding RNA, 622 nt
Organism: Cyprinus carpio carpio
Lineage: Eukaryota; Metazoa; Chordata; Actinopteri; Cypriniformes; Cyprinidae
Source: Ensembl